RNAcentral lists this ribosomal RNA (756 nucleotides) under uncultured bacterium. Its description in RNAcentral is "bacterial SSU rRNA". It matches the Rfam family "Bacterial small subunit ribosomal RNA", at positions 8 to 796 of the family's 1533-position model. The record is from RNAcentral.
AGAGUUUGAUCAUGGCUCAGAAUCAACGCUGGCGGCGCGCCUAACACAUGCAAGUCGAACGAGAAAGUGGAGCAAUCCAUGAGUAAAGUGGCGUACGGGUGAGUAACACGUGGGUAAUCUACCUCCUAGUGUGGAAUAACCCUGGGAAACCGGGGCUAAUACCGCAUAAGCUCGAGAGAGGAAAGCAGCAAUGCGCUGGGAGAGGAGCCCGCGGCCGAUUAGCUUGUUGGCAGGGUAAAAGCCUACCAAGGCAGAGAUCGGUAGCCGGCCUGAGAGGGCACACGGCCACACUGGCACUGAAACACGGGCCAGACUCCUACGGGAGGCAGCAGUGGGGAAUCUUGCACAAUGGGGGAAACCCUGAUGCAGCGACGCCGCGUGAGCGAUGAAGCCCUUCGGGGUGUAAAGCUCUUUCGGCAGGGAAGAUGAUGACGGUACCUGCAGAAGCAGCUGCGGCUAACUACGUGCCAGCAGCCGCGGUAAUACGUAGGCAGCAAGCGUUGUUCGGAGUUACUGGGCGUAAAGGGUGUGUAGGCGGUCCUCUAAGUUUGGUGUGAAAUCUCCCGGCUCAACUGGGAGGGUGCGCCGAAUACUGAAGGACUAGAGUGCGGGAGAGGAGAGUGGAAUUCCUGGUGUAGCGGUGAAAUGCGUAGAUAUCAGGAGGAACACCGGUGGUGUAGACGGCUCUCUGGACCGUAACUGACGCUGAGACACGAAAGCGUGGGUAGCAAACAGGAUUAGAUACCCUAGUAGUCC